This 777-nucleotide non-coding RNA is filed under the name Greenidea ficicola. The record is from RNAcentral. Lineage: Eukaryota; Metazoa; Arthropoda; Insecta; Hemiptera; Aphididae.
UUUAUAAUUUAUUUUAUUAUAAAAUUUUAUUUAAUUAAAAAAAUAUAUGAAAAUUUUUUUUUGUUAAUUUAUUUCUUAAUGAAUUUUAAUUAUUCUCAGUAUUAAAUAUUAAAUAUUAAAGAAAUUUAGAUUUAAUUAUUAAUUUUAGUAUAGACUAAAUAUGUGCCAGCAGUUGCGGUUAAACUUAUUAUACUAAUAAAAUAGUUUGGUUAUUAGUAUUUUAAUAAUUUUUGUAAUUUAAUUUUUAAUUAUUUAGGUAAAAUUUAAUUUAAAAUUAUUUUUAUAAUUAUAUUAUUCUAUUAAAUUUUAUUUGAAACUAGGAUUAGAUACCCUAUUAUAAAAAUUUAAAAUAAUUACUAAAAGAUUAAUAGUUAUGUUCUUUAAAUUUAAAAAAUUUGGCGGUAUUUUAAGUCUUAUUAGAGGAACCUGUUUUUUAAUUGAUAAUCCACGAUUAAUUUUACUUAUAUUUUAAAUUUAUAUAUCGCUGUCAAGAAUAUAUUAAAAAAUUAUUUUCUUUAAUUAUUUUAAUAAUUUAUGUUAAGUCAAGAUGUAGUUUAUAUAUAAGAAAAUAAUGGGUUACAUUAAAUUUGAUUUUUUGAAUUUUAAAAUGAAAAAUUUAAAUGAAAUUGGAUUUAAAAGUAAAUUUAAUUAAUUUAUUAAUAUGAAUAAAGAUCUGAAAUAUGUACAUAUUGCCCGUCAUUCUUAUAAAAAGUAAGACAAGUCGUAACAAAGUAAAUGUACUGGAAAGUGUAUUUAGAAAGAAAAAAAUUGAAAAAA